Molecule: small RNA, 684 nt
Filed under: Pan troglodytes (chimpanzee)
Lineage: Eukaryota; Metazoa; Chordata; Mammalia; Primates; Hominidae
Description: processed transcript
Source: RNAcentral
CGAGAACGGAAGAGGCGGCGCGCCGGUUGAGCAGGGCGUCUCUAGGCCUGGUCGGCUGGCGGCGGUCCUUAUGUCGUCAGAAGAUCGAGAAGCUCAGGAGGAUGAAUUGCUGGCCCUGGCAAGUAUUUACGAUGGAGAUGAAUUUAGAAAAGCAGAGUCUGUCCAAGGUGGAGAAACCAGGAUCUAUUUGGAUUUGCCACAGAAUUUCAAGAUAUUUGUGAGCGCUAUCUGCUCUAUGCAAGCACUUAGACAACCUAUGGGAAGAACACCGUGGCAGCGUGGUCCUGUUUGCCUGGAUGCAAUUUCUUAAGGAAGAGACCCUAGCAUACUUGAAUAUUGUCUCUCCUUUUGAGCUCAAGAUUGGUUCUCAGAAAAAAGUGCAGAGAAGGACAGCUCAAGCUUCUCCCAACACAGAGCUAGAUUUUGGAGGAGCUGCUGGAUCUGAUGUAGACCAAGAGGAAAUUGUGGAUGAGAGAGCAGUGCAGGAUGUGGAAUCACUGUCAAAUCUGAUCCAGGAAAUCUUGGACUUUGAUCAAGCUCAGCAGAUAAAAUGCUUUAAUAGUAAAUUGUUCCUGUGCAAUAUCUGUUUCUGUGAGAAGCUGGGUAGUGAAUGCAUGUACUUCUUGGAGUGCAGGCAUGUGUACUGCAAAGCCUGUUUGAAGGACUACUUUGAAAUCCAGAUCA